UGGUUGGUGGUUCAGCGGUAGAAUUCUCGCCUUCCACGUGGGAGAACCGAGUUCGAUUCCCGACCAGUCAC
This 71-nucleotide transfer RNA is filed under the name Loxodonta africana (African savanna elephant). It matches the Rfam family "tRNA". From Rfam's summary of the family: Transfer RNA (tRNA) molecules are approximately 80 nucleotides in length. Their secondary structure includes four short double-helical elements and three loops (D, anti-codon, and T loops). The record is from Rfam by way of RNAcentral. Lineage: Eukaryota; Metazoa; Chordata; Mammalia; Proboscidea; Elephantidae.